RNAcentral lists this ribosomal RNA (573 nucleotides) under Triticum aestivum (bread wheat). Its description in RNAcentral is "partial small subunit ribosomal RNA". The record is from RNAcentral. Lineage: Eukaryota; Viridiplantae; Streptophyta; Magnoliopsida; Poales; Poaceae.
AUGGAUCAUUGCGCUGCGCGCACCACCCUAGCCCGCUGCUGCUGCUAUCAAACAUCCUACACGCCACGCCAUCGCCCGCCUACACGCGCGCACCGCUACUCUCCGCCGGCCGCCACCUCCGCUUCUUCCACCCAUCCCGUCAAACGCAGCCUCGAUCACCACCGUUAUCUCCUCUUCCCCUCCUCCUCCCCUGUCCCGUCCAUCACUCGUUCGCUCCUAGUAGCAGCUAGCCCCCUUUCCCAGGUGAACCUGCUUGCUAGCUUCCUGCAACCACCACUGUCAGGUGAACCAGGAGGCAUGGGCGGCGUCGUCAGGUGCGUCAAGAUCCUCGCGCUCCUCUCGCUCGUCCCGCUGGCGCUCAGGGCCGGCUCCCUCCUGGGCCACGUCGUCGCGCCGCCUCCAUCGUCAGCUGCCACCAGGAGCGCCAGCGUCUCCGAUUCGGCGCACGGCAAGACGUCGGAGGGUGCUGCUCUGGCUGCCGCGAGGUUCCGGAGCGGUGCCAGCGUAGGCGGGUUCGGCGACGACAAGAGGAUGGCGCCGUCGGGGUCCAACCCGCUGCACAACCUUCGAUGA